This 29-nucleotide non-coding RNA is filed under the name Rattus norvegicus (Norway rat). The record is from RNAcentral. Lineage: Eukaryota; Metazoa; Chordata; Mammalia; Rodentia; Muridae.
UGGCUACCCUAGCAGCUGCCCUGGGUGUC